GAUGAACGCUGGCGGCGUGCUUAACACAUGCAAGUCGAACGGUGAAGGCGGAGCUUGCUCUGCUGGAUCAGUGGCGAACGGGUGAGUAACACGUGAGCAAUCUGCCCCUGACUCUGGGAUAAGCGCUGGAAACGGCGUCUAAUACUGGAUACGAGCUGCUAAGGCAUCUUCAGCAGCUGGAAAGAAUUUCGGUCAGGGAUGAGCUCGCGGCCUAUCAGCUUGUUGGUGAGGUAAUGGCUCACCAAGGCGUCGACGGGUAGCCGGCCUGAGAGGGUGACCGGCCACAAUGGUACUGAGACACGGCCCAGACUCCUACGGGAGGCAGCAGUGGGGAAUCUUGCACAAUGGGCGAAAGCCUGAUGCAGCAACGCCGCGUGAGGGACGACGGCCUUCUGGUUGUAAACCUCUUUGAGCAGGGAAGAAGCGAAAGUGACGGUACCUGCAGAAAAAGCGCCGGCUAACUACGUG
RNAcentral lists this ribosomal RNA (468 nucleotides) under uncultured bacterium. Its description in RNAcentral is "partial 16S ribosomal RNA". It matches the Rfam family "Bacterial small subunit ribosomal RNA", at positions 28 to 507 of the family's 1533-position model. The record is from RNAcentral.